UUUUUGUAAGUUCGCAGGAUUAAACCGCCUUUCCCAUCAAUUUGAAGGAAUCUUCAGCUCACGACGCCACCGUCUAGCUUCAAAGUCCAGCGAGAAUGGCGGUUAGACAAAGCCGCAAGCAAAUUACACAACCAGAGAUAAAUGAAGAAGUUGAAUCUUCAUCUGAAAAAGGCAAAAGUUUCAUUGCACCCAGAAUCCUUCAACAGCGAGAAUUUCAGGGUGCUUUGACUGUGCAAAGAAGUAAUGGGCUGGGAAAUUCUGGCCAUUCACACGUGCAUAAUGGUGGCAACAGUAGUGCCACAGACAUUCAUGAAUCAGAAAGUCUUUCUGAAAUUGAUGAUGCUGAGGUCAUUGGAUAUCUUAACACCAAGCAUGAGAUGCGUUAUAAGAGGAUCUUGUGGGAAGCAAUGGAUAGAGGAUUUUCAAAGGCUAAGAAACCAAAACUGAAGGCAGAACUCAAAAGAAGUACUUCUGUUGAUAAAGCUGCAAAAGCAACUCCUAAAAUAGAGAAAAAGAGGCCGAGUUCCAGAAUUAACUAUGAUGCUCUUAGUAAGCUAGCUGAUGAACUGAAGUAGAAUUGGACCAAUCCUAGCAUCAUUUGUGGCAGAUGUAUAUCUGUGGAUGCAUGUGCAAACUUAUCAGUUUGACAUUACAACAGGAAUGAGUUGAGCAAAGUGGAGUAAACGAAAAGUUAGCAUUGACUGCCAUUUGCAUCAUUAAGUAAUUUUAAACUGAUUCUUGUUUCUUUUCCAAAUUGGUGGUAUCAUUGGGAAAACUCAGUGUGGAAAAGGUCUGUUCGGCAGCAUGAAUGGCCCAUAUAAUAAACAUGAAAGCAGCAUAACAGGAACCUCAACGAAGCAUGAUUAGAAAAAUUUUAAUUCUCAUGAUGUUUUUGUCUACUUUACACUAGAUUUCAGCAUUGUGUUUGUUUCGGUUUAAUUAGCUUCCUGUGUUCGCUUGAUGUCACUGCAGAAUCAAGGUCUUGAUAGCAAUGGUGGUCAGUAAGGUGCAGUCGAUACUUACCUCUUCUCUACCGAAAUGAACGUGCCUAAGAACUCUAGGUAAAUAGUGUUGCAGUUGCUGCAUAUGGCAUAAUUAUUAGAUGCCAAAAUACUGGUGACAACUUGGUGAGAUGAUAAGAAAGUUGAAGAUCAUCGUGCUGAAGAUCGUAAACUUUCUGAGCAGUCUCCCUGACAAAUCAUCCGUGAAAGGUCCAGCAUAGAGGAUGAGCCUCUCAAAACUAUAAUGAGCUAAAUUUGAUGAGCCUCCAACAAUAAGAUAGGAAGCUUUUGUCUUGUCUGACUUUAGAGUGAAAAACUGGCUUUGUAAUUUAAUAUUCUCGUUUUAAGAAAAAAUUUCUAUCUUUUCUGCUUUU
This is a non-coding RNA of Coffea arabica (coffee), 1375 nucleotides long. Lineage: Eukaryota; Viridiplantae; Streptophyta; Magnoliopsida; Gentianales; Rubiaceae. The record is from RefSeq and is a predicted model, not a curated record.